UUGACAUAAACAGUACGUGCAUAAAAUAUUUCCUUAUAAAAUGAUCAAACAAUUUUCCAUUGGUUACAUACAAAUGAGAAAAAUAUGGCUACAAUUACCAAGUUUGUGUAUGCUAUCAUCCUAUUUAUUUCUCUACUUGUUGUAACUUAUGCCUUUCCAUCUAUCCUAAAUAAAAAGUGCGCAUCCACUUCUGAUUGUCUAAAUUCUGCUGGUGAUGAUCCUUGUAUUGGACGUGCAUUCGUUAUAUGCCAAGAAAAAAAUUGUGUUUGUGUUGAUUAAAAAUAUUAACAGCACAUAAGCAUAUAUAUAAGCUAGCAUUUUUUUUUCUGAAACGGCAAAAUAUGCAUUUAUUUAUAUCUCAACUAAACAAGCACAAGAAGUACUUGAAGCGCAACAGAAUUACCUUUGCUUGCUUUCAUAAAUACAUGGAGAAUAAGGAAUAAAUAAAGAUGUAUGAUUAUGUAAAAUCAUUAUUUUAUGAAGUUUUUUGUUAUGUA
This is a long non-coding RNA of Trifolium pratense (red clover), 497 nucleotides long. RefSeq lists it as uncharacterized. Lineage: Eukaryota; Viridiplantae; Streptophyta; Magnoliopsida; Fabales; Fabaceae. The transcript is spliced from 3 exons. The record is from RefSeq and is a predicted model, not a curated record.